This is a non-coding RNA of Bactrocera oleae (olive fruit fly), 2850 nucleotides long. NCBI's taxonomy places the organism in Eukaryota, Metazoa, Arthropoda, Insecta, Diptera, Tephritidae. The record is from RefSeq and is a predicted model, not a curated record.
CACAAUCCUAAAAGAAAAAAUAGAAAGCUAUGACGAAAAAAGACUGGUUAUUAUUCCCUUUUUCAAUUCUUCGUAAUGUCAACUACAAAUAGCUGCUCGUUGGGCGAUGACAAAGAACUGACUAGUGGUGUGAUUAAACUAUCAACUUCGUGUCCACAAACUUAUCGAUUGCAAUACUACAUUUUAUCGUAACGAAAUGAAAUUACUUUUUACUGAAAAGUCUUAAUUAUAAAUGCAAAAGUAUUAUAAAAACACAUAUCUAACAAAUUUGAAGCCAUUUUAAUUUCAUUAGGGCAACAACAUUAAGGAUGAUAAACAAAGUUGUGGUUAUAACUACCAAUACGCCUUCAGGUCAGAAUUUGAAGUAUUAAGGCUUACUGUUAAUGCUAACAAAAUGUUUUGUAGAUGUUUUAUAAAAUUAAGUCAUAUAUGAUUACAUUAUAGGAUAGCUGAUAUAAAAAAAAACACUAUAAAAGCUUAAGAGAUAAAAUUAACUAUCAAACUUCUAAUAUAUCAUAGCUUGAGUUGUAGUCUAGCAGUCAUUGUGUAUUAUGCUAUCCUAUUAAAAACUUGCUUGUAAUUUAAAUAUACGGUAUGAUUUGAUAGUCCUAGAAAUUAAUAUAUAUCUUGGUAAGUCUUUUUACUCGCAUAUGCGAUAUUUAUAUCUUAAUACAUUUGUGGCGCGAGAACACCUCUGUUGCAUUUACUUUGUUUCAUUCCACAAAUAAAUAAUAGUGCCAUUCCUUUUACUCUUGUUUAAAAUCGAACACGCAAAUAAUUGAUAAGGCAGUAUUUUAUUUAUUUACUGUUUCACUUUUUGUAUGUCAGUUUUUCUAUUGCUUCUUUUCUUUGUUUUCGGAGACGCUUUGACAACUACGAAAUGUUCCAAAAUCCACAUAUUCACCUUUUAUUAAUUGAAAGUGAACUCAAAAGCAUUACGGGAGAAGUUGAUUACAAAAAUUUAACAGUCUGUAAUUUCGGAUAUAAUAAACAGAAAUCAAAGUAUUUGUGAAUUUAUUGAGUACUUUAUGUCUUCAGUACAUUGUUUUUGAAAAGAAUUUAACGCAUUUUAAUAAUAAUUUUCAUAAAAGAUCAACCACGUUGUACAAAUUAAGUAAGUUGUCAUCAUAAUGUACGGGAUUACUGCGUGUAUAAGCAGCUGCGCUAAAGUUCGAGUCGCUGCUUUGGUUGCAAUAAUAAAAUUGUUCGAGAAGUAGUAAAUGCUUUUUUUUUUUGUUUCUUUUAAAGGAAUUACACGUUUAAACUAAGUUUUUUACAGCUGAAAUGCUUGAGCUAAAACGAAAGUAAAAUGUAACUCACAAAGUUGCAUUAGUGUUAAACUAUAUAUUUUUUCCAUUGCGGGAAAGUAAUGUACAUACUUAAAAGGUGCAAAUGUUCUUGACGACGGAAAAUUGAACCAAAUGUGACUAUCACAGCUGUCUAGAACGUGGCUGUUGCGCGUGUUUCAUAUAAGUAUGUAAAAUAUGUUGAGGUAAAUUAAUCGCUAUUUACCUGCCGCAUAUAAUACCAAAUGAAGUUCGCUAAAACUAAGGAAAACAAACAUUUAGACCGGCUUAAAAAAGAGCGAUGACAUAUUGAUUAAAAAUAUGUGCUUCGAAUUAACUUUAUGUUCUGAUCAGUGCAAUGGAAAAAUUUACUCAGUUUAUGAUUAACGAAAAUUUCUUUGUUUUUGUGAUGAUGUUACAUGUGAUUUUCUACGUAUCAUCGCGCUGUGAUGCCACGUCUAAAUGACUGAAUUGCAAAUAUGCAUAUAAAAAUAUGCAUCUGUAUGUUUUCAUUACAUUAAAACGCAGAUGCACAUGAAGUAGAGAAAGUUUACAAAAACCUGUUGCCUCACAAUUUGUUUUCUUCGCAUUUGCAUUAACGGCAUUUACAACAUACCGAAAUUUGUUAAACAAUAUGGCUCGUGGACAUCAAAAGCUUCAGUCUCAAGCUAAGUCUCAAGAAAAGCAAGCAAAAAUGAAAAAACAACAAGGUCAUAGUGCCAACGAUCAGAAGAAGGCAGCACAAAAGGCGCUCGUUCAUGUAUGCGCGGUUUGCAAGUCUCAAAUGCCCGAUCCAAAAACGUACAAACAACAUUUUGAGAAUAAACACCCCAAAAAUGAAAUGCCACCAGAAUUAAAAGAUGUGUAAAAUUAGUUAUAUUGUAAUCAUUCAGGCUGCAGUUAAUAUAAUCGAUAUUGAAACAUUUUUGAAUAAAUAUUGAGGAAACGAAGCCAGCAGUUACCCAUAAUUGACGAACGUGUGUAUUAUUGCUGAAGCAAUUAGAUGAUCUGCUUUUGCGAUAACAUAGCUAAUUUUUUUUGUAUUUGUUUAGUAGUGUUGUAAAAAAACACUCAAAAUAUAAUUUCUUAUAUUAAAUAAUUAAUAAAAAUGUGACCCAGACGUAUAAAUUAUGAUGUGUAAAUUUUGUAACGAUCUGUAUACCAACCACAAUGAAGUUAUUUGCUAUUGCCGUACUGCUUCGUUUCGGUUAAUUUCAAAUGUGGAUAACCCAAAUUAAAGAUAUAUACAUCUAAGAUUAAUAUUUGCAAAUGAGUAAAUAAGUGAAGUUAUAAAUGAACAUAUUAUCCCAUUAGUUAAAAUAAUAUUAAAGGAUUAGAGGACAAAAUAAUAUAUAUUUAGUAUUGUAUCACAUAAGCAUGCAUACAUACACACACAUUUUUGUACUAUAUAAAUUGCGUAUUGAUAUAUAGCAAUUGCUCCCCGCAUUGGCUCAUAGUUUUCUCCUGUGUAAAUUUGCCUUUGUAUUUUAACGUAGAAAAAUUAUGUUGUAAUUGAUUUAUGAGGGAAUUCAAUAAAUAUUAUUUAAAUAGAAAAUUUUCGAAA